This is a long non-coding RNA of Exaiptasia diaphana, 411 nucleotides long. RefSeq lists it as uncharacterized. Lineage: Eukaryota; Metazoa; Cnidaria; Anthozoa; Actiniaria; Aiptasiidae. The transcript is spliced from 2 exons. The record is from RefSeq and is a predicted model, not a curated record.
GCGGUUAUCAAUAAAAAUCCAAAAUGGCGUCCGGCGGAGCAGGAGCAAAUCAAGAAAGACUCCUCAAAGAAGCUGCAAAACAAAUCCAAAGAGCGAGAAGACCAAUCAAUUACAAAAGAAAAAACUUUUUUGUUUUUGCUGGACUCCUGACGUCAGUCUGUGGUAUAUAUUUUUACUCCAUGUAUUCAACACAACAAGAGAAAAUAGACUUUGAGAAGUAGCAAGAACGCAAAAAGCGAGAUCCAAGAAACACAAUACCCUCACAGCAAGACAAAGACCUUACUUUGUUAUGAAGGAGAAAAAUCUAAAAAGAACAUCAACUAAAAGGAAAUCAAACGUUUAUUGUACAUAGAUGUUCAGUGUGAAAUUACAAUUUUCCAUGCACUUAAUAAAUCCUAUAAAGUAAAUCAC